AUGCAUCUCAAUGGGGGGUUAUUUCUUUCCUCAACAAGUUAUAGUAUAACAGGAGAGGGUAAUGAUGCUGACCUGUGGCUUCACCUUCCAUGGAAAACUCUGGCACACCUUCCAUGGAAAACUCUGACUUGCCAGGAGGUGGUCGUCGCUUCCAGAGAUCGUCGCCGAUCCAGUAGUCGCUUCAAGAGACCGUCUCUCGAUCUGGUCGUCGCUUCCAGAGAUCGUCGCCCAGCCCGGUCGUCGCUUCCAGGGAUGGGGAUGCCUUCACCAAAUGAGGCAAAAUCUGGCUCGCAGAUAUGGGUCGUCCAUCUGGAAGGUUUCGGUUGUAUACAUGGAAAGAAUCCAACUUGA
This 351-nucleotide ribosomal RNA is filed under the name Triticum aestivum (bread wheat). RNAcentral's name for it is "partial small subunit ribosomal RNA". Lineage: Eukaryota; Viridiplantae; Streptophyta; Magnoliopsida; Poales; Poaceae. The record is from RNAcentral.